RNAcentral lists this unclassified non-coding RNA (306 nucleotides) under uncultured fungus. Its description in RNAcentral is "partial contains 5.8S ribosomal RNA, internal transcribed spacer 2, and large subunit ribosomal RNA". The record is from RNAcentral. Lineage: Eukaryota; Fungi.
AACGCACAUUGCGCUCCCUGGUAUUCCGGGGAGCAUGCCUGUUUGAGAAUCGAUUUCACCCUCACCCCCCUCUUGGGAAGUGGACUUGAGCGGCUUGACCUUGGUCAACCGCUUGAAAGGCAUGGGCAAAGGAACCGUGUGUUCGAAAGCGAUAGUGGUAUGCCCCUUGGGGUGUUGACGCGCUGGAGGAACCAUGGCAUCCCGUCCGUCGAUCUCAACUGAGGACCUUCGGUCCCAGACCUCAUCAGCGCCCUCGUGGCCUGACUUUACGGUCUCAAAUCAGGCAAGACCACCCGCUGAACUUAA